UGCCCAGCAACUCCUAUCCCUACCUCCUCGUGGUACUGGCCGGUGUACGAGUAACCUUGGGGAAGAUCGGGUAACCAACCCCCGGUGGGAACUUUGGUCGUAUGCUGACAGGGAAGG
Molecule: non-coding RNA, 117 nt
Organism: Aedes aegypti (yellow fever mosquito)
Lineage: Eukaryota; Metazoa; Arthropoda; Insecta; Diptera; Culicidae
Source: Rfam